UACGUAGGGGGCUAGCGUUGUCCGGAAUCAUUGGGCGUAAAGCGCGCGUAGGCGGCCCGGUAAGUCCGCUGUGAAAGUCAAAGGCUCAACCUUUGAAUGUCAGCGGAUACUGCCGGGCUAGAGUCCGGAAGAGGCGAGUGGAAUUCCUGGUGUAGCGGUGAAAUGCGCAGAUAUCAGGAGGAACACCGGUGGCGAAGGCGGGUCUCUGGGCCGAUACUGACGCUGAGGAGCGAAAGCGUGGGGAGCGAACAGG
Molecule: ribosomal RNA, 253 nt
Filed under: uncultured bacterium
Lineage: Bacteria
Description: partial 16S ribosomal RNA
Rfam family: Bacterial small subunit ribosomal RNA
Source: RNAcentral